AACGAACGCUGGCGGCAUGCCUAACACAUGCAAGUCGAACGAGACCUUCGGGUCUAGUGGCGCACGGGUGCGUAACGCGUGGGAAUCUGCCCUUGGGUUCGGAAUAACAGUUGGAAACGACUGCUAAUACCGGAUGAUGACGUAAGUCCAAAGAUUUAUCGCCCAAGGAUGAGCCCGCGUAGGAUUAGCUAGUUGGUGAGGUAAAGGCUCACCAAGGCGACGAUCCUUAGCUGGUCUGAGAGGAUGAUCAGCCACACUGGGACUGAGACACGGCCCAGACUCCUACGGGAGGCAGCAGUGGGGAAUAUUGGACAAUGGGCGAAAGACUGAUCCAGCAAUGCCGCGUGAGUGAUGAAGGCCUUAGGGUUGUAAAGCUCUUUUACCCGGGAUGAUAAUGACAGUACCGGGAGAAUAAGCUCCGGCUAACUCCGUG
This 433-nucleotide ribosomal RNA is filed under the name uncultured bacterium. Its description in RNAcentral is "partial 16S ribosomal RNA". It matches the Rfam family "Bacterial small subunit ribosomal RNA", at positions 29 to 507 of the family's 1533-position model. The record is from RNAcentral.